UACGUAGGGUGCGAGCGUUGUCCGGAAUUAUUGGGCGUAAAGAGCUCGUAGGCGGUUUGUCGCGUCUGCUGUGAAAUCCCGAGGCUCAACCUCGGGUCUGCAGUGGGUACGGGCAGGCUAGAGUGCGGUAGGGGAGAAUGGAACUCCUGGUGUAGCGGUGGAAUGCGCAGAUAUCAGGAAGAACACCGAUGGCGAAGGCAGUUCUCUGGGCCGUAACUGACGCUGAGGAGCGAAAGCGUGGGGAGCGAACAGG
Molecule: ribosomal RNA, 253 nt
Filed under: uncultured bacterium
Lineage: Bacteria
Description: partial 16S ribosomal RNA
Rfam family: Bacterial small subunit ribosomal RNA
Source: RNAcentral